This 238-nucleotide long non-coding RNA is filed under the name Elaeis guineensis (African oil palm). RNAcentral's name for it is "long non-coding RNA (EGUI_LNC066516)". The record is from RNAcentral. Lineage: Eukaryota; Viridiplantae; Streptophyta; Magnoliopsida; Arecales; Arecaceae.
GUCAUAAACUAUCAUAUGAACAAACUAAACACCAGCCUACCUGAAUUGCUAAAUAUAUUAUAGACAGCAGAGAGCCAUUUCAAAGGAGAAAAAGCUCCAGUUCUUGUUGCAUAUAAGAUCUCCAAGAAGAAAAAAAAAAUUCUAAGAAAAAGAUGAACCCUAAGACUAGCAUCUCGAAGAAAAAGAUGAAGAAGAUCUCCAUCAAGGAUACUUGUUAUCAGUGCAGCAAGAAAGGGCA